UAGUGUCCAAGUUUGAGAGCUUUGAAAUUCAAUAAAUAUCUAGAUCAAAAAACUCUCACCCCAACCUAUUGUCUAAACUGGCCACAUCGGUGCCAUCUGAACUGCCACAAAGAACUUUCUUCAAGAUACUAAGCAACCAUGCACAAAGGAACUAGCGGUAGUAUUGCAAGUGGAUAAAGAGCCCUACUGGAUGGACCCCCUAAUCAGCUAAUCUCAAAGACAGAACUUUGCCAAC
RNAcentral lists this long non-coding RNA (235 nucleotides) under Elaeis guineensis (African oil palm). RNAcentral describes it as "long non-coding RNA (EGUI_LNC033765)". Lineage: Eukaryota; Viridiplantae; Streptophyta; Magnoliopsida; Arecales; Arecaceae. The record is from RNAcentral.